Molecule: ribosomal RNA, 417 nt
Filed under: uncultured bacterium
Lineage: Bacteria
Description: bacterial SSU rRNA
Rfam family: Bacterial small subunit ribosomal RNA
Source: RNAcentral
ACGGGUGCGUAACACGUGAGCAAUCUGCCGAUCUCUGGGGGAUAGCCGGCCCAACGGCCGGGUAAUACCGCAUACGCUCAUCGAGGGGAUUCCCUUGGUGAGGAAACCUCCGGGGGAGAUCGAGGAGCUCGCGACCUAUCAGCUAGUUGGCGGGGUAACGGCCCACCAAGGCAGCGACGGGUAGCUGGUCUGAGAGGAUGGCCAGCCACAUUGGGACUGCGACACGGCCCAGACUCCUACGGGAGGCAGCAGUGGGGAAUAUUGCGCAAUGGACGAAAGUCUGACGCAGCGACGCCGCGUGUGGGAUGAAGCCUUUCGGGGUGUAAACCACUGUUGCCCGGGACGAAACUCUCUUUUCGAGGAGAUUGACGGUACCGGGUGAGGAAGCACCGGCUAACUCUGUGCCAGCAGCCGCGG